This 451-nucleotide ribosomal RNA is filed under the name uncultured Fibrobacter sp. RNAcentral's name for it is "bacterial SSU rRNA". It matches the Rfam family "Bacterial small subunit ribosomal RNA", at positions 341 to 792 of the family's 1533-position model. The record is from RNAcentral. Lineage: Bacteria; Pseudomonadati; Fibrobacterota; Fibrobacteria; Fibrobacterales; Fibrobacteraceae.
ACGGGAGGCAGCAGUAGGGAAUGUUGCACAAUGGGGGGAACCCUGAUGCAGCAACGCCACGUGUGGGAAGAAGCAUUUCGGUGUGUAAACCACUGUCGUGAGGGAAUAAUGCUUGGUCUCGGCCAAGUUGAAUGUACCUCGAAAGGAAGCACCGGCAAACUUCGUGCCAGCAGCCGCGGUAAUACGAGGGGUGCAAGCGUUGUUCGGAAUCACUGGGCGUAAAGGGAGCGUAGGCGGGGACGCAAGCAGUCUGUUCAAUACCGGGGCCCAACCCCGGACCUGCAGACUGGACUGUGUCUCUUGGAUAGUUCAGGGGCGGGCGGAAUUCCUGGUGUAGCGGUGGAAUGCGUAGAGAUCAGGAAGAACACCGAUGGCGAAGGCAGCCUGCUGGGGACUCAUCGACGCUGAGGCUCGAGAGUGCGGGUAGCAAACAGGAUUAGAUACCCUGGUA